GGGGGGAGGCCGGAUCCUGGGCUGUGUCCCGGCGCCCUGUGCUCCGGAGCCUGCGCUGUUGGAUUCGCGCUCCCGGCCCACAGCCCCCU
This is a non-coding RNA of Canis lupus familiaris (dog), 89 nucleotides long. NCBI's taxonomy places the organism in Eukaryota, Metazoa, Chordata, Mammalia, Carnivora, Canidae. The record is from Rfam.